CUUCAGUGAGCCCAUCCACAGGGGGUGGUCCGCGGGCCGGUCCCGGCCGUAGGUGGCGAGUACGGCCUGGGCCUC
Molecule: antisense RNA, 75 nt
Filed under: Streptomyces sp. DI166
Lineage: Bacteria; Bacillati; Actinomycetota; Actinomycetes; Kitasatosporales; Streptomycetaceae
Description: ASpks TB sRNA
Rfam family: ASpks TB sRNA
Source: Rfam by way of RNAcentral